CUAACCUAUCUUCUUAUCAUAUUAAUUUCUAACUCUUUGUUUUUCCCUGGGUUUAGCGAGGAGCUCUGUCUUGGGUCCCAGAGGAGUCCCAGCUGCUGGAGAGAUGUCAGGGUCUGGAGGUCUCCAGGGCAAAGGAAGUAGAAGUUACUGUGGGACAAGAUCCAGAAUAUUUGUGAGACUGGUUUCAGCUCAAGAUUGGAAGUCAUGAAAAAAAUGCAAUAUCAACUGAAGACUUCUUACUUAGGAAUCUUCACUGAAGAGUCUUCACAUAGAUAUUUGUUGUGCAGAAGGAAUAGUAGACAUCUGGGCCACGUUCUUUGCUUUUCCCUCAGCCUUUUGCAGUUCUGUGUCCUCUCAGUCAGACCUACAUAAAAUAUGCCAGUGCCUCUGCUUUGAGUAAUGCUUCUAACUGUUGGGGAAAAAAAAUGUAAUUUAUUUAGGUUACAUCUGCUAUAUAGAUAGAUCACAUAUCUUGCCACAUGUUUCAGAUGUCUUAACAUUUGGUACAUUAGGUGAAACCAGGCCAACAUCUGUGAGUAUUAGAUCUUGCUAGACUUUGAUUGCUGAUGUACAGAGAGUAGGGUUUGCUCGUUGACCACCUCUGUUCAUCCAGAAGCUGCUCAGAGACCCUUUCCAGAGUGAGGGGUACUGGUUUUGUG
RNAcentral lists this long non-coding RNA (659 nucleotides) under Zonotrichia albicollis (white-throated sparrow). Its description in RNAcentral is "lncRNA (ENSZALG00000017209.1)". The record is from RNAcentral. Lineage: Eukaryota; Metazoa; Chordata; Aves; Passeriformes; Passerellidae.